AGCGAACGCUGGCGGCAGGCCUAACACAUGCAAGUCGAACGAACCUUUCGGGGUUAGUGGCGGACGGGUGAGUAACACGUGGGAACGUGCCUUUAGGUUCGGAAUAACUCAGGGAAACUUGUGCUAAUACCGAAUGUGCCCUUCGGGGGAAAGAUUAAUCGCCUUUAGAGCGGCCCGCGUCUGAUUAGCUAGUUGGUUGAGGUAAUGGCUCACCAAGGCGACGAUCAGUAGCUGGUCUGAGAGGAUGAUCAGCCACAUUGGGACUGAGACACGGCCCAAACCCCCAGGGGAGGGAGGGGGGGGGAAUCUGGGGCAGGGGGCAAAAGCCUGAAGCCCCCAUGCCGGGUGAAUGAUGAAGGUCUUAGGAUUUUAAAAUUUUUUCCCCGGGGACGAAAUGGAGGGAACCGGGAAAAAAACCCCCGCCAAAUUGGGG
This 433-nucleotide ribosomal RNA is filed under the name uncultured bacterium. Its description in RNAcentral is "partial 16S ribosomal RNA". It matches the Rfam family "Bacterial small subunit ribosomal RNA", at positions 29 to 506 of the family's 1533-position model. The record is from RNAcentral.